RNAcentral lists this long non-coding RNA (622 nucleotides) under Nicotiana benthamiana. RNAcentral describes it as "long non-coding RNA (NBEN_LNC005871)". The record is from RNAcentral. Lineage: Eukaryota; Viridiplantae; Streptophyta; Magnoliopsida; Solanales; Solanaceae.
UAUCAUAUGACACAUGUAAGUCAGUAUGCCUCGAAUAUGUACAAGGAAAAAGGAAUGGGGAAGGAUUGUAAAAACAGCUUUAGGCUACAUUGAUCAAGUCUCCACGGGACACAUGCAUAAUGGGAUAAAGGUUGUAUGGUUACAAGGCAGAUCAGUUGGAAGUCUUGGCUCCCAAGAGAGCGGCAUAUGCUGCUGGCAGGAAUUGAAAAUUGCAAAUACAAAAUUAGAGAGAAACAAAGUUCAAGAACUUACUCCCAAGGGUCAUCACCAACCAGAAGAACAUCAUUCUCAUGAUCCACAUACACAAGCUUCCAUCCUAUCCUUUGUCUGUCCUCCAGUUGUCCCUCUAUACCGAAUCUACGAGCUAAAUCUUGUUUAAGGUCUUCGUAGCCCGAGUAACGUGCGAUAUCGAUCGAUCUUCCAACAGCACCGCGCUUGUAUACCUUUGAGAGCAUAGAGGCAAAAAAGUUAGUACGCUUAAGUCUUAACUCAAACAUUAUACGAGAUAGCCCGAGUAACGUGCGAUAUCAAUCGAUCUUCCAACAGCACCGCGCUUGUAUACCUUUGAGAGCAUAGAGGCAAAAAAGUUAGUACGCUUAAGUCUUAACUCAAACAUUAUACG